UGUUUCACGACAUUAAAAAAUUAUGGCAGGUAGUUUUAUUACAUUUACACUCGGCAACACUUGGAAAAUGGCAUAAGCAUCACAAACGUCAAACGACAAAAGCAAUAUGGCGUUUUCUUUGUCUUCGUAUGGAGUUAUUAUUAAUGUUUUCCAAGCUUAAAACGAUUUUUAAAUAGUGUCGUUUGUAAAAUGGUUAACAAUAUAUGUGCUGUGAGUGGCUGUGGGAAAGAAUCGUACCCUGGCUGUGGAUUAUCUUUUCACAGUUUGCCUUCAGAUUUAGAGCUAAAGAAAAAGUGGUUAGAGGUGAUACCCGGCAACUUACGUCAAAGCUCUGUAGUUUGUUCACUUCAUUUCAAACCGGAAGAUUAUCGAACAGAAGCUCGGAAAAGGUUGAAACCUGGAGUGACUCCUUCUAUCUUUCCAAAGAUUUUUCCCGAAAAUAAAAAAAAUGAAGUGUUAAGCGAUAUACGCUUAAAAACUAAAAAAUGAAGAACCUGGAUCUUCUAAAAGUCCUCCAAGGAAGAAAAUAAA
Long non-coding RNA from Aricia agestis (brown argus), 531 nucleotides. RefSeq lists it as uncharacterized. The transcript has 3 exons. The record is from RefSeq and is a predicted model, not a curated record. Lineage: Eukaryota; Metazoa; Arthropoda; Insecta; Lepidoptera; Lycaenidae.